Molecule: long non-coding RNA, 1296 nt
Organism: Cyprinus carpio (common carp)
Lineage: Eukaryota; Metazoa; Chordata; Actinopteri; Cypriniformes; Cyprinidae
Source: Ensembl
AUGCCAGGAAAAAGUUGCAUAGAUCCCCCAGCAGAUCUUAUAUCAAAGUUUCAGUCAUGUUUCAUGGACUUUUUUUGGGACAAGCUGCACUGGAUACCAAAACAUGUAUUGAACCUUCCUAAAGAAGAAAGAGGACUUGGACUGAUGAAUCUACAAAGUCGAACAGCUGCUUUCAGAAUUGAGUUCACACAAAGACUUUUAACAGCCUCAGAGAUCUCAGACUGGAGGAAGGUACCCUUCUCUACACUGAGAGGGUCUGAAGGACUGGGAUUGGAAAGAGCCUCACUGUGUCUAGAUCCUCAGAAGCUGAAACUCUCCAAGUUUCCUGGUUUUUAUCGAAAUCUUUUUAAAGUGUGGGCCUUGUUCAAGAUUCCAGAGGAGAGGACUGUGAACUCUGUGUUCUGGCUGUUGCACGAGACAUUAAUAUUUGGCUCACGUUUGGCCUCGUCCAGUGAACUGAGUUACUUUGUGACAGAAGAGAAUCUUCUCAGCUCUGGAGCUAACUUUAUAGACGUGAGUUCAGUGACUGAGAAGCUGAGAUCUACUCGAUUGGUCUCCAGAGCACUUGACAAGUGGAGGACCGCUUCGUCUGAGAAAGAUCUGAAACUGUUAUUGGGUUACUCACUGGGGUUUAUUAAUCCAGAUUCUGAUUCUGUUCCAGACUUGUAUUUAACUCUCAUAAUGGACAGUUGUGGAGGCUGUUUCUUAGAAGUUAACAGUUUGAUUGUGAUGGGGUCAGAUAUUACUUCUGGAAAGGUCUGUAACAAAAUCUGUGUAAAAAUCUUUAAUAAGAAGGUCUCGGAUAAAAUAAUUGAUACACCUUGGUGUGGGAUGCUUCAUCUGAAAGAGAGUGAAACACCUGAGUGGAGAGUAUUGUAUAAGUCAGCAUUAUCUAAGAGAAUUGGAGAUGUUGCUAUUGCAGUGAACACUUUUGUUUCUGUAAUUAACUCCGAUGUUCAUCAAAACUGUUCUUUUUGUUCACAAAAGGAAACUGUGUACCAUGCAUUUAUGCAGUGUUCUAGACUGACACCCUUAUUUACUGUUUUAAAUCACAUUUUUAAUUGCUUUAAUGAGUGUUUUUCUAUGAAGGUGUUUAUUUGUGGCUUUAAAUCUCAUAACAGUCGUAAGUAUCAGUGUCAGUUGUUUAAUUUUAUAUUGGGACAUGCAAAAAUGGCAAUUUACACUACAAGAAAAGAAAAAAAUUAUCAUGUGGUUUGCAAUGAUUUAAAUGCAGUGUUUACUAACGCUGUUAAAUCCAGAAUCUUUAUAGAUUUUAAUUAUUUUUAUAAUAAUUAA